Molecule: long non-coding RNA, 628 nt
Organism: Acanthopagrus latus (yellowfin seabream)
Lineage: Eukaryota; Metazoa; Chordata; Actinopteri; Spariformes; Sparidae
Exons: 2
Source: RefSeq, a predicted model, not a curated record
AUUUGAGAACAUACUCGUGCCAUGGAUUUCAAGCAAAUAUUUUUAGAAUAAGGUAUUGUGGGGCACUUCCUUUCUGGAAAACACCAAACAUGCCAAUCUGAAAUCAAGAGUGGCAGAGACAGUGAUGAUAAAGUGUUGGAGGAGAGAUAGAAGUAAGAGAGAGGACGGAAGAGCUGGCGCCACUGCGGAAACCAUGCUGCAGCUGAGAGAAAAGGGGAAAAACAUGCCCACAGAGCCAGCCACACCCGCAGCCACGCAGAGAAAUCCAUGUGGUCCCACACAGCGGAGGCAGAACACGAGGAAGGAAAGGCUAAUUCUCCGUGGAGGAAACCAGACUGAGCAGCUGGGAUCCUCUGUGGCCAAAGUGAGGUGUUCCAGAAACUUAGAGCUCAGAUUUAUAGACUUAAUGUUGGACUUGGUUCGAACAAUUAAACACAGUGUCGCAAAGAAGCUGCGAUAAACAAGUGAAACAAUAGGAGGACACGCAUUUAUCAACAGUCCCGGCAGUGGAACAUAACUGGGUGUGUGGGAGGAGCAGGAGAGUAGCUGAGUGGAGUGGAAAGGAGAGGAGUGGUGUUAAGUUGUAGGUGAUGGAGGAGAGCCAGCAUAGAGCUGUUUGCAGCUGCAA